AAUGAACGCUGGCGGCGUGCUUAACACAUGCAAGUCGAGCGAGGCGGAGGGGGCAACUCCUCUAGCCGAGCGGCGGACGGGUGAGUAACACGUGGGUAACCUGCCCGGAAGUGGGGAAUACCUCGGGGAAACUCGAGCUAAUGCCGCAUAAAAUCUCCGGGACGAAAGUCCUGGCGAUCAAAGCGGGGUCGCAAGAUCUCGCGCUACCGGAUGGGCCCGCGCCCGAUUAGCUAGUUGGUGAGGUAAUGGCUCACCAAGGCAACGAUCGGU
This 270-nucleotide ribosomal RNA is filed under the name uncultured bacterium. RNAcentral's name for it is "partial 16S ribosomal RNA". It matches the Rfam family "Bacterial small subunit ribosomal RNA", at positions 29 to 284 of the family's 1533-position model. The record is from RNAcentral.